RNAcentral lists this ribosomal RNA (483 nucleotides) under uncultured bacterium. RNAcentral describes it as "partial 16S ribosomal RNA". It matches the Rfam family "Bacterial small subunit ribosomal RNA", at positions 30 to 506 of the family's 1533-position model. The record is from RNAcentral.
AUUGAACGCUGGCGGCAGGCCUAACACAUGCAAGUCGAGCGGAUGAAGGGAGCUUGCUCCUGGAUUCAGCGGCGGACGGGUGAGUAAUGCCUAGGAAUCUGCCUGGUAGUGGGGGAUAACGUCCGGAAACGGGCGCUAAUACCGCAUACGUCCUGAGGGAGAAAGUGGGGGAUCUUCGGACCUCACGCUAUCAGAUGAGCCUAGGUCGGAUUAGCUAGUUGGUGGGGUAAAGGCCUACCAAGGCGACGAUCCGUAACUGGUCUGAGAGGAUGAUCAGUCACACUGGAACUGAGACACGGUCCAGACUCCUACGGGAGGCAGCAGUGGGGAAUAUGGGACAAUGGGCGAAAGCCUGAUCCAGCCAUGCCGCGUGUGUGAAGAAGGUCUUCGGAUUGUAAAGCACUUUAAGUUGGGAGGAAGGGCAGUAAGUUAAUACCUUGCUGUUUUGGCUUUACCAACAGAAUAAGCACCGGCUAACUUCGU